Molecule: ribosomal RNA, 468 nt
Filed under: uncultured bacterium
Lineage: Bacteria
Description: partial 16S ribosomal RNA
Rfam family: Bacterial small subunit ribosomal RNA
Source: RNAcentral
GACGAACGCUGGCGGCGUGCUUAACACAUGCAAGUCGAACGGAAAGGCCCUGCUUUUGUGGGGUGCUCGAGUGGCGAACGGGUGAGUAACACGUGAGUAACCUGCCCUUGACUUUGGGAUAACUUCAGGAAACUGUGGCUAAUACCGGAUAGGAGCUCCUGCUGCAUGGUGGGGGUUGGAAAGUUUCGGCGGUUGGGGAUGGACUCGCGGCUUAUCAGCUUGUUGGUGGGGUAGUGGCUUACCAAGGCUUUGACGGGUAGCCGGCCUGAGAGGGUGACCGGCCACAUUGGGACUGAGAGACGGCCCAGACUCCUACGGGAGGCAGCAGUGGGGAAUAUUGCACAAUGGGCGGAAGCCUGAUGCAGCAACGCCGCGUGCGGGAUGACGGCCUUCGGGGUGUAAACCGCUUUCGCCUGUGACGAAGCGUGAGUGACGGUAAUGGGUAAAGAAGCACCGGCUAACUACGUG